CCGUGAACUCGGCAAAUUACCCCCGUAACUUCGGGAGAAGGGGGGCCACAGACCGUCAUACCCCAUGCGGGUGGCAGCGGUAGGUGGCCGCAGAGACCAGGGGGAAGCGACUGUUUACUAAAAACACUGGUCCGUGCGAAGUCGUAAGACGAUGUAUACGGACUGACGCCUGCCCGGUGCUGGAACGUUAAGGGGACCGGUUAGUCCGCAAGGGCGAAGCUGAGAACUUAAGCGCCAGUAAACGGCGGUGGUAACUAUAACCAUCCUAAGGUAGCGAAAUUCCUUGUCGGGUAAGUUCCGACCUGCACGAAUGGCGUAACGACUUCCCUACUGUCUCAACCAUAGGCCCGGCGAAAUUGCAUUACGAGUAAAGAUGCUCGUUACGCGCGGAAGGACGGAAAGACCCCGGGACCUUCACUAUAGCUUGACAUUGGUACUCGAAUUGAAUUGUGUAGGAUAGGUGGGAGACUGUGAAGCGCGGACGCCAGUCCGUGUGGAGUCAAUCUUGAAAUACCACUCUGUUGAAUUUGGGUAUCUAACUUCGGACCGUGAUCCGGUUCAGGGACAGUGUCUGGUGGGUAGUUUAACUGGGGCGGUUGCCUCCUAAAAUGUAACGGAGGCGCCCAAAGGUUCCCUCAGCCUGGUUGGCAAUCAGGUGUUGAGUGCAAGUGCACAAGGGAGCUUGACUGUGAGACUGACAGGUCGAGCAGGGACGAAAGUCGGGACUAGUGAUCCGGCACCUGCGAGUGGAAGCGGUGUCGCUCAACGGAUAAAAGGUACCCCGGGGAUAACAGGCUGAUCUUCCCCAAGAGUCCAUAUCGACGGGAUGGUUUGGCACCUCGAUGUCGGCUCGUCGCAUCCUGGGGCUGGAGUAGGUCCCAAGGGUUGGGCUGUUCGCCCAUUAAAGCGGCACGCGAGCUGGGUUUAGAAUGUCGUGAGACAGUUCGGUCCCUAUCCUCCGCGCGCGCAGGAGACUUGAGAAGGGCUGUCCCUAGUACGAGAGGACCGGGACGGACGAACCUCUGGUGUGCCAGUUGUCAUGCCAAUGGCACGGCUGGUUAGCUACGUUCGGAAGGGAUAACCGCUGAAAGCAUCUAAGCGGGAAGCCUGCUUCAAGAUGAGGUCUCCCACCCCUAGAGGGUUAAGGCCCCCAGCUAGACCACUGGGCUGAUAGGCCAGAAGUGUAAGCCUGGCAACAGGUUCAGCCGACUGGUACUAAUAGGCCGAGGACUUCACCU
RNAcentral lists this ribosomal RNA (1238 nucleotides) under metagenome. RNAcentral's name for it is "bacterial LSU rRNA". It matches the Rfam family "Bacterial large subunit ribosomal RNA", at positions 1706 to 2925 of the family's 2925-position model. The record is from RNAcentral.